Molecule: ribosomal RNA, 492 nt
Filed under: uncultured bacterium
Lineage: Bacteria
Description: partial 16S ribosomal RNA
Rfam family: Bacterial small subunit ribosomal RNA
Source: RNAcentral
AGUGAACGCUGGCGGUAGGCCUAACACAUGCAAGUCGAACGGCAGCACAGUAAGAGCUUGCUCUUACGGGUGGCGAGUGGCGGACGGGUGAGGAAUACAUCGGCAUCUACUUUUUCGUGGGGGAUAACGUAGGGAAACUUACGCUAAUACCGCAUACGACCUACGGGUGAAAGCAGGGGAUCUUCGGACCUUGCGUGAUUGAAUGAGCCGAUGUCGGAUUAGCUAGUUGGCGGGGUAAAGGCUCACCAAGGCGACGAUCCGUAGCUGGUCUGAGAGGAUGAUCAGCCACACUGGAACUGAGACACGGUCCAGACUCCUACGGGAGGCAGCAGUAGGGAAUAUUGGACAAUGGGCGCAAGCCUGAUCCAGCCAUACCGCGUGGGUGAAGAAGGUCUUCGGGUUGUAAAGCUCUUUUGUUGGGAAAGAAAAGCAGCAGGUUAAUACCCCGCUGUUCUGACGGUACCCAAAGAAUAAGCACCGGCUAACUUCGUG